AGCUUUGUGCAGUGGCAGUAUUAUAGCCAAUGAGGUUUAUCCGAGGCAUGAUUAUUGCUAAUUGAAGUACCCAGAUAAUGGUGUCUGAUGCACAUUUCUUGAGUUGUUUUACAGAUAUGAAAAC
Molecule: small nuclear RNA, 124 nt
Organism: Balaenoptera musculus (blue whale)
Lineage: Eukaryota; Metazoa; Chordata; Mammalia; Artiodactyla; Balaenopteridae
Gene: U4
Rfam family: U4 spliceosomal RNA
About the family: U4 small nuclear RNA (U4 snRNA) is a component of the major U2-dependent spliceosome. The structure of U4 snRNA from yeast and human has been reported.
Source: Ensembl